RNAcentral lists this ribosomal RNA (266 nucleotides) under uncultured bacterium. RNAcentral describes it as "partial 16S ribosomal RNA". It matches the Rfam family "Bacterial small subunit ribosomal RNA", at positions 793 to 1055 of the family's 1533-position model. The record is from RNAcentral.
CUCCACGCCGUAAACGAUGAGUGCUAAGUGUUGGAGGGUUUCCACCCUUCAGUGCUGCAGCUAACGCAUUAAGCACUCCGCCUGGGGAGUACGGCCGCAAGGCUGAAACUCAAAGGAAUUGACGGGGGACCCGCACAAGCGGUGGAGCAUGUGGUUUAAUUCGAAGCAACGCGAAGAACCUUACCAGGUCUUGACAUCCUUUGACAAUCCUAGAGAUAGGACUUUUCCCUUCGGGGACAAAGUGACAGGUGGUGCAUGGUUGUCGU